GCAUUACUACGCUCAGUGUUAAGAAAAAUAUGGUAUGUUUGAUUAAAUAACAGAGAAAAAAAGCAUUUCAGGAUUGAUGCAGUUAGGAUGAAGAAUUUAUUGUAUAUACAGUAAAGCAAUUCUACUGUAGAUGUACUUCUUGUUUAAAGAAAAUGAAUACAGUAAUCAAAAUCGUUUUAGCAUGGAAACUACAGCACAGACUGAAACUUGACUAAACCAGAAAUCAGUUAUUUGACUUGAAAGAACACAGGACCUGGAACAACAGAUCACAGGUUGCAUCAUUAACCAGGACGGUAAAAAAACUGUACAGUACAAGCAACACAUUACAAUAAGUUAUGACCAAUAAGGCAGUCUCUCUCAUUUAGGACAAAAGGGAUAAAGGGAAAGGUAUUAAAAUCUCAUAAAUCCACCGUAUCUCUUUUCCAUCUCUGGGACCUCUUUGGAAUAAGUUUCCCCAUCUUCUUCAGAAGGGAGAAUGGAAUCGGCGAAGCGCUUGAGAAACCCGCCGUACCGUUUCUGGUAAUCCAGCCACCACUCUGGCCUGCCCACUCUUCUCAUGAAACCACCGUAUCUCUUUUGCAGCUCUUUGGCUUCAUCUUCCAGUUCUGGGCUGCGCUUUACGCUUCUCAUGAAACCGCCGUAUCUUUUGCUGACGUCUCCAUCGUUUUCAUUUACUCCUCGGUAAUGCGCCGCUUCAGGGUUAUCCCCUGCUCCUAAAAGCUCCUUCAGCAGAUCAGAGGAAUUAGCCAGGGCAUCGUCGUCUGAGUCCUUCUUCAUGAAGCCUCCGUACCUCUUAGCCAGGAUCUCUCCUCCAUUAGCUUCAUCCUCUGACUCUGGGUGGUAGAGCUCAUCCAUUUUCUUCAUGAAUCCCCCGUAUCUCUUCAUGAAGCCCCCGUAUUUCUUGGCAAGCAGAUGGUUCUCAUCCAGCUCUUUUUUGUCUCCUGGAGCGGCGUUUCCAUCCUCAGGCAGGUCCAGCUUUGUCAGCUGCAGCAGCUCCUUGCAGGUCUCCCAGGCCUUGGCAGAAGGAAGCUUUCCUUCACAUUCUAGUGUACAUGCCUCGGGAGAAGCUGAAAUGUCAGAGGGAUGCUUAAAGGCACGCUGCAGCGGGUGGAUGUCGGCGCGGGGCCCCAGGCGGUAGGCGCAGGCCGCGCAGUCCCGCCCGCAGUCCGCCCGCGCCCGCGGCAGCAGGCAGGUGCUGAGCGCCAGCAGCGAGCAGCCGAGCCGCAGCAGCAACGCCAUGGGGACAGCGCUCCCCUCGGGACUCGCGGCGGUCGUUGGGCAGCGCCUCGCUGCUGGAGCCUCGGCGUCGAGCCGCGGGUGUUUGGAGCG
Molecule: long non-coding RNA, 1329 nt
Filed under: Gallus gallus (chicken)
Lineage: Eukaryota; Metazoa; Chordata; Aves; Galliformes; Phasianidae
Source: RNAcentral